Herpailurus yagouaroundi (jaguarundi) is the source of this 1217-nucleotide long non-coding RNA. RefSeq lists it as uncharacterized. The transcript is spliced from 3 exons. NCBI's taxonomy places the organism in Eukaryota, Metazoa, Chordata, Mammalia, Carnivora, Felidae. The record is from RefSeq and is a predicted model, not a curated record.
CAUCAUGUUUUUCAUGGUUAUAUAACCACAAGAUUUUAAAUACAUAUAUUAGAUAUGCUAUUGAAGUGACUUAAAGCCCCUUUUAGUACAAAUCUUUCAAAAUAUCAAGAUGUAUUUCCCUGUUUCCCAAGUAAUGCAUGCUGUUUCAUUUACUUCAGAUUAAUCCGUAAGAACAAAGAUGAUCUAUUGACUCAAAUUUAAAUACUAUAUAUCACUGAAAAAUAUUUAAAAUAUGUGUUUUAAAAAUACAGGGAAAAAUUACCUAUGUGAUACUUAUGGCAUCAAUAACAGGAAAAACAUUACCCUGCUGUUUUAAUUCUUGAAUCUUUAGAAUUUUUGCAUUUGGAUUGUAUAAAAUGUCCUGGUUUAUUUUAAAAAUCAUUAUGUUUCAUAUUUAGAUGAAAAGGAAUGACAGAUUUCCAGCUGCAACUUAUAAUCAUUUCUUCUCACACAAUACAUUGCGGGGUAAAUAGUCUUUACUCCAAUAAACAGCAGCAACAUUGACUAGAACAAGAGACAGAUGUUAUGUAUACAUUUUGAUCAGAUUAAUGGCACCUAAGAUCUGGUGAAGAUCAUCUUUAGGAGAACCAUCACUCAAGACAACUGAAGUUGACUCCAUGAUCACCUUUAACAACAGGACCUCCGGAACACCUUUGCCAAUUCUUAGUAACUUCCCCGUCACAGUUUCCUCAUCUGAAAUGGAUUGCUAAGAGAAUUAAAUGAUAUUUAGCAAUACCUGGAAAAUGUUCACAAUGACUACAUCCAAGCCCACCGGGCUACAUAUGGAGACAAGUCAACUAACCACAUAUAAAAAUCGCCAUUGGAGAAGGGGAAGAAUCAGAACCCACGUGACGAAGCUGAAAAUGCUGGGGAAGUGGAUACCAGUCCCACAUGCUCAGAGAAAGUUGAUUCUACUGCAGCCCCUGCAAGCAACUCAACUUCCUAACCUAGCAUUCUAGAGUGUCACACUGAACCACCCCAAACUCAGAGUAUAGGCUCAGCUAGAAAAAUGCCUGUUUCAAAAAAGCAAGAGGACAAGGGAAAUUUUCAGAAAUGUCUAUCUACCACUGUUGGGCUCCUCGAUUCAUCUCUUCCCAACUCCUCAAGAGGUGGUCCCCUUUGGAAGUUCCACCGAACACUUAGACACCUCCAGUGCCCAGCCUUGGGCCGAUUACAUUCAACUUGGCAUUUGAUGAUGAAACUUCCUCAAAUUGCUC